RNAcentral lists this long non-coding RNA (309 nucleotides) under Fukomys damarensis (Damara mole-rat). RNAcentral describes it as "lncRNA (ENSFDAG00000028261.1)". Lineage: Eukaryota; Metazoa; Chordata; Mammalia; Rodentia; Bathyergidae. The record is from RNAcentral.
GGGAAAGGCAACCUACUCAUCAUCAUGGCUCUCUUUUGAAUUGUAUUGGUCUUUCACAAAGGCUAAGAAGGCACUUCUCAGUUUGUUAUAGUUAAGCAUGGGAUUUCUUUGGUUCUGAAGCAGAGUUUGCCUGUGAUAUUCCUUGAGGUUCUGCUUACUGCAGCCUGGAAGUUACUGAAAGGAGAAAAGAUGCUACAGUUUAGGGAACUAUCUAUCUUGGACAAGGUGUAUUCCGGCAUUGGUAAAUUGAAUCCCGGGCAACUGAAUAUCAAAGAUAGAAAUGGAAAGAACAGAAAAAAUCCAGCAAAG